This 804-nucleotide ribosomal RNA is filed under the name uncultured bacterium. RNAcentral describes it as "bacterial SSU rRNA". It matches the Rfam family "Bacterial small subunit ribosomal RNA", at positions 60 to 859 of the family's 1533-position model. The record is from RNAcentral.
AGUCGAGCGGAGAUGAGGUGCUUGCACCUUAUCUUAGCGGCGGACGGGUGAGUAAUGCUUAGGAAUCUGCCUAUUAGUGGGGGACAACAUUCCGAAAGGAAUGCUAAUACCGCAUACGUCCUACGGGAGAAAGCAGGGGAUCUUCGGACCUUGCGCUAAUAGAUGAGCCUAAGUCGGAUUAGCUAGUUGGUGGGGUAAAGGCCUACCAAGGCGACGAUCUGUAGCGGGUCUGAGAGGAUGAUCCGCCACACUGGGACUGAGACACGGCCCAGACUCCUACGGGAGGCAGCAGUGGGGAAUAUUGGACAAUGGGGGGAACCCUGAUCCAGCCAUGCCGCGUGUGUGAAGAAGGCCUUAUGGUUGUAAAGCACUUUAAGCGAGGAGGAGGCUACUGAGACUAAUACUCUUGGAUAGUGGACGUUACUCGCAGAAUAAGCACCGGCUAACUCUGUGCCAGCAGCCGCGGUAAUACAGAGGGUGCGAGCGUUAAUCGGAUUUACUGGGCGUAAAGCGUGCGCAGGCGGCUUUUUAAGUCGGAUGUGAAAUCCCCGAGCUUAACUUGGGAAUUGCAUUCGAUACUGGGAAGCUAGAGUAUGGGAGAGGAUGGUAGAAUUCCAGGUGUAGCGGUGAAAUGCGUAGAGAUCUGGAGGAAUACCGAUGGCGAAAGCAGCCAUCUGGCCUAAUACUGACGCUGAGUACGAAAGCAUGGGGAGCAAACAGGAUUAGAUACCCUGGUAGUCCAUGCCGUAACGAUGUCUACUAGCCCGUUGGGGCCUUUGAGGCUUUAGUGACGCAGCUAACGCG